UUUUAGGCCCUGAGAACACUGUCUGCAUUUCAUUUUCAGCAACUCAGAAGUCUAAGGUACAGAAGAAAUGACAGAGAAUGCUUCUUCUGUCUUUCCAUUUUUCUUCUAUACACCAAUGAAAAUAAGUCAGCAGAGAUACGAUUUCUAGUUCCUUCCUUAAUGGCGGCACAGUUAGAAGCAAGACUGCAUUUUUAAGGUUGUUGCAGUAACCCAGGUGAAAAAGAAUGAGGAGGCUGCACAACAAUAUGAAUGUACUUAAUGCCACUAAACCACUUAAAAUUGGUUAAAAUGGUAAAUUUUGUGUUACGUCUAUUUUACCUCAAUUAAAAAAAUAAUGAAGGCUGGACAGCAUCAGUAACAGUAGGAAUGGAAGAAGCUUUUGCAGGACUGAUCAAAUGAUUGGAUGCAGAUACGUUUUCACAUCGUUCUCAUAGGCAAAAUGUACACAUGAACAAAUACUAAACUGUUUAGAAUACUAAUGCCAAAAAACUUCUACAACCUCCACAUCGAAACAAACAGACCUGAACAUUAGGAAAUAAUCAGAUUUUACAAGGAAUGUGUUUUUUAUACACUUUGGACAUUUUCUUUCAUAAUAUGUAAAUAUCAAAACCUUCAAGCAAAUCAUACAGACAAGAAAAUAACAUGUGCUGCAUUAAAAACAUACAGACUUAGCAAAGAAAGGACAAAAACAAAAAACCUCCUAAGGCAGUUUUGACUCUCAGAAAUAUACGAGAGAGCUAAAAACACUGACAGAAUUCAGUUGCUUCUGUGAAGCAAGCGAAAAAGGGGAAAAUAAAUAACUUUUAGGAAGGCACUCCAGACCUGACCUGUACAAACAGCAAAUUCAAAGGUUUUGAAAAUGAUGAGUUUUUACUUUUUAGAGUUUGUAAUCAAUUGAAAUAGUGAUUCAUUGACAUUCUGGGGAGGCAUUAGAAAUGACCUAGAAUUUCUCUGGUAAAACAUAGCAUUUCAGUACGUUUAGAGGUACACGUAGCUGGUUUCUCCAGUACAGUUUUUAACAGGUGGCAUACUAAUAAUAAAUCUUGCUCUGUUUCUUAACACCACUUCCCCCAACUGCUAAUGAUGGGGUGAAAAAGUGAAAAAUACUGUCUAGACCAAUAUUAAUAAGGAGAAUGACGGCUACAAUUAGGAUUUCAUUUUAAUACAGCAGGAUUUUUAUACUGAAUUAAAUGUUCAUAUAUGUUUAUUUGAUAAUAACUCAUGAAUUUCAGUGGCAAAAAAAAGUUUCUUCUGGAGCUCACAAACAGGAUGAACAAUUAAAAAUAAAUAAAUAAGUCCCACCAUGCAGAAAAUUUACUUAGCUUGACACAUAUGAACUUGAGAGGAACGAGAGUUUUGGAAAGUGAGGCCAGCUUCUCUAGGACUUUGGCAAACUCAGUCAUCAUGCAGAGGAAAGAAGGAAGCAAGUGCCUGUUACCUUCAGUGCUCAAUACUAGAAUGAUAGCCAUCUAUGGCCAAAUUUGAAAUGGUGAUGCCUUGAGAAACUAAAUAAUAAGAACUGUCUUUUUUUUAGAUUUAAUGUAAUCUAGCUAAUGGCUUGUGUAUAAUUUUCCAGACAACUUAAUGGAUAUUUUUAUGAUUUAAAAUAAUUGUCUUCCAUGUCAGUCAAGACAUAAAGAAUACAAAUUUCCGCAUUGGAAGAAUGAAUAGCCUCAGGAAGAAGUUUAUAUCUGUUGGAGCAGUAAUUCCAGGCACUGGUCUACAGACCAGCACCAGUCUGUAAUAAGGUGCUCACAGUGAAAUAAGAAAAAUUAGGACAGUGCAGUAGCUUUGUUAUCCAUAAAAAGUUAAAUGUAUUUCAUGCACAAGACUAUCUUUAGUCUAAGAUUAGAUCCUUCCUACCCUAUGAUAGUUGUAGAUGGCCAUAGAUUUGGGGAGUAUUUGGUUUUUUGUUUCUUCCUUUUUAAAUGUAGAUUUCGUUUUUUGGGACAAAGAAAUAUUGGCACCCUGAUGUUGAUUCCUAAACUGUUUUUGAAUUUUUACUGACCUGUGAAAUCUAAAAUGUUGGAAACUGUUGCUCAAGAGAUCAGCAGUUCUCACCUUUGUUUUCCCUGCCUGCCCCAACAUACUGGAGAGAUAGGAUAUACCCCCAUCAGCUCGAGCCUCAGUAAGACUUGUUAUCAGCAGAAACUUAGGCUCUUGAAGAGGGAGGGUGCAUAUCAGAAUGGCUGGAAGUCAUAUAUGUACUAGACAAAGGCCCCAGGUGGUUCUAAGAGGGCCCAAACCCCAGCUAAACUGACAAUUCUCACUCAGUAAUACUGAUAUAUCCAGUGGGCCUAGAAAUGACCCAGAUACCUCAUUUAUUAAUUUAUCAUCUUGCCCUCUCUACAGGACUGUUAUCUUUACUUCCCAGAAAAAUGAGUAGGAUUUCUCCGGAAGGCAAGUCCCUCUGAAGUAUCCACCAACCAAUGCCAUACAGAUGAAGAAAUAGAUUUGGCUCUGAUAUGUUGGAUUUUCUCAAGCAAGUCCCAUAUCGAAAAUAAAAGCGUUUAAUUCUAAUCAGAGACAGCCGGGAAAAAAAGAAAAAAAAAAAAAACCUCCUGGCUUCCUGCCUCUUGAAAGCCUCUCCUUCAAAAUGUUUUGAGGACCUGCAAUGUGCCAGGAAUAUUACAGCAAAUGAGUCUUCUUUGGUGGUCCAGCCACACCAGCCCUUAUACUUCACAGCGUGAGUGAUAUAAACAUGAAGGCCAGGUGCGGCGGCUUACACCCGUAAUCCCAGCACUUUGGGAAGAGUGAAGUGGAGGAAGAGGUACAUUCAACUACAGAGGAGGAAACUGAGGCCCAGAGGGGAAAAGUGACUUGAUUGACAAAAAUUGGAUUCUGGUCUUUGUUCUGCCAAAGCCACUAAAUCUGUGUUGCUGAGUCUGCUGUUUGCAUGCAGGAAUGUGAAGGACUGCUCAAGUUGGAGAUACAAAUUGAAGCCAGCCCCAGUUCAAAACUGUUACAAAUGGAGUCUGUAGGCAUGAGGGGCUGACUAUAUAACUCAGAGUUCUCCAGUACUUUACUUUAAUAAAGAACACAAUCUUUAUUAAAGGAUAAGUAAUAAAAAUGUGUUGAUGUGCAACUUAUGGAUCUAUUAUUAAAACUCAACAGUCAUUGCAGCAAUGUUUAGAACUUAAGCAAACAAAAGUUUUGUGAGGGGGCAAUUUUAUCAAUGACAUUGUUUAGAAAUGUUGGUAGAUGGUGAUCAUAAAAAGCAGAUCAAUGUUUUAUUUCA
This 3238-nucleotide long non-coding RNA is filed under the name Homo sapiens (human). Its description in RNAcentral is "HSALNT0340071". The record is from RNAcentral. Lineage: Eukaryota; Metazoa; Chordata; Mammalia; Primates; Hominidae.